This 795-nucleotide ribosomal RNA is filed under the name uncultured bacterium. RNAcentral's name for it is "bacterial SSU rRNA". It matches the Rfam family "Bacterial small subunit ribosomal RNA", at positions 8 to 796 of the family's 1533-position model. The record is from RNAcentral.
AGAGUUUGAUCAUGGCUCAGAUUGAACGCUGGCGGCAUGCUUUACACAUGCAAGUCGAGCGGCAGCGCGGGGGCAACCCUGGCGGCGAGCGGCGAACGGGUGAGGAAUACAUCGGAACGUACCCCGGAGUGGGGGAUAACCCAGCGAAAGUUGGGCUAAUACCGCAUAUGCUCUACGGAGGAAAGCGGGGGAUUCGCAAGAACCUCGCGCUAUGGGAGCGGCCGAUGUCCGAUUAGCUUGUUGGUGGGGUAAUGGCUUACCAAGGCGACGAUCGGUAGCUGGUCUGAGAGGAUGAUCAGCCACACUGGGACUGAGACACGGCCCAGACUCCUACGGGAGGCAGCAGUGGGGAAUUUUGGACAAUGGGGGCAACCCUGAUCCAGCCAUGCCGCGUGCGGGAAGAAGGCCUUCGGGUUGUAAACCGCUUUUGUCCGGAAAGAAAAGGCACUCCCUAAUAUGGGGUGUUCUUGACGGUACCGGAAGAAUAAGCACCGGCUAACUACGUGCCAGCAGCCGCGGUAAUACGUAGGGUGCGAGCGUUAAUCGGAAUUACUGGGCGUAAAGCGUGCGCAGGCGGUCCGCAAAGUCUGAUGUGAAAGCCCCGGGCUCAACCUGGGAACUGCAUUGGAAACUAACGGGCUCGAGUGUGGCAGAGGGGGGUGGAAUUCCACGUGUAGCAGUGAAAUGCGUAGAGAUGUGGAGGAACACCGAUGGCGAAGGCAGCCCCCUGGGCUAACACUGACGCUCAGGCACGAAAGCGUGGGGAGCAAACAGGAUUAGAUACCCUAGUAGUCC